Molecule: long non-coding RNA, 761 nt
Filed under: Panax ginseng (ginseng)
Lineage: Eukaryota; Viridiplantae; Streptophyta; Magnoliopsida; Apiales; Araliaceae
Description: long non-coding RNA (PGIN_LNC019211)
Source: RNAcentral
CACAGUUAGUGUAAAAAGAGCACAAUUAUUAAUUGAUAAAAUUAAAAUUAUUUGAUAAAAUUAAAAAUUAAAUAAAACAACAUGUCAAUUAAUCAAACAAAAAAAUAAAAAAAUAAAAAAACAUUAAUAUUUAUAUCAUUUAACCAAAAAACAACACAAAGAACUAUAUCUAAAAAACUUAUUUAUUUAUUCUAAAACUUCAUCUUCUUCAAGAUCGUACAACACAGGAUCCCAAACCAGCAACCACGACCAAACCAUCUGGAAAUAAAUCAAAGCCCAGAAACCCCAUAUUCCAGCAUGAACAGUUCGAAAAGUGAUUCAAAAAAGAAUUAGAUCCGAACAAGAUCCAGCUUCCAAAACCCCCAACACCAGCAGAUCUAAAAUCCCACACCCAUAAGAGAUCUACCAUAUCAAAUCAUUACUCCUCUUCCAGCUCGCAAAAAAUCAGAACCCUCAACUAUUCAUACAAAAAGCCCCAUAAUCUACAUGACCCAGAUCAUGAUUUUUAUUGCUCCAAAUAGAGAUCUCUCCCGUGUAGUUGUCAUGCUACCAAUUCGUGAAUUGAAUGAUCUGUCCAAGCUUUUAAUACAGAUCAUGGUGUUUUCUUCUUCUUAUGAGUUUGUGGCGAAGAUGGCGAUGGCCAUGAUCUUAGUUUCUUUCUCUCCCUGUAUAUAUUCCCUCUGUUUGGCUCCAAUUUCUAAUUCUAUAUAUACGCAAUCUGAUGUUCUUAAUUUCUUCGUAAUUAGAAGAAAAAUGGCUAU